UACGUAGGGUGCGAGCGUUGUCCGGAAUUAUUGGGCGUAAAGAGCUUGUAGGCGGUUUGUCGCGUCUGCUGUGAAAAUCCGGGGCUCAACCCCGGACUUGCAGUGGGUACGGGCAGACUAGAGUGUGGUAGGGGGAGACUGGAAUUCCUGGUGUAGCGGUGGAAUGCGCAGAUAUCAGGAGGAACACCGAUGGCGAAGGCAGGUCUCUGGGCCACUACUGACGCUGAGAAGCGAAAGCAUGGGGGAGCGAACAGG
RNAcentral lists this ribosomal RNA (255 nucleotides) under uncultured bacterium. Its description in RNAcentral is "partial 16S ribosomal RNA". It matches the Rfam family "Bacterial small subunit ribosomal RNA", at positions 524 to 776 of the family's 1533-position model. The record is from RNAcentral.